AACAAAUCCGCACCUGAAAGAGAGAAAAACCAUUCUCCCCACACUGCCUCAAAAUUCUGACAGUAACUCCACCUGCUGUGUGUAAAUUUCAGCCGUUUCUUAAAGCUUAUGAAAAAAUUCAGACAAUCUUCUUCUGUUCAUCACAGUUUUCGUCGCAAUUAUUCGCACUAGAAUUUUGAUAAAAUUUCAGCAGAAGAAUACGCACCGGAGCAUGCCGACUUCAGCCGCAGCCUCGUCAUCGUCGGAGAAUCAGAGCCGUCCAGUUCCCGAGGACAUCGUCGGACGGCUAAGCUCGUCUAUGGCUUCAUAUGAGAUUAAGCUUAAAGCCCUGAGAGACCUGAAGAAUCAGAUCAUUGGCAACCGUACAAAGAAGCUUGCUUUUCUCAAGCUUGGUGCGGUUCCUUCCGUCGUCUCUAUAUUAUCUUCCGCUACUGCCGCGGCCUCGUGCCGUGGUGGUUAUGAUGAUAAUUUGGAUUCUAUUAUAAUUCAGUCCGCUGCCGUAAUUGGAAGCUUUGCGUGCGGAUUUGAUGCUGGAGUUCAGGCUGUUUUAGACGCUGGUGCUCUCCCCAUUUUGUUGAGUUUAAUUUCUCAUCAGAAUGAGAAGGUAGUUGAUGCUGGUGCUCGUUCAUUAAAAUUGAUAUAUCAGUCAAAAUUGGCUCCAAAAUAUGAAUUUUUUAAAGAUCAAAACUUGGAAUUUCUCCUUUCACUAUUGAAUUGUAAGAAUGAGAAUGUUACUGGACUUGGUGCUUGUGUCAUCACACAUUCCUGCAGGACAAGUAUUGAGCAGAGGGCAUUGAAUGAUGCUGGAGUAGUAAGGAAGCUCAUUAGUCUUCUUGGAGGCUCAGUAAUUCAGAGGGAUUCUAGUUUGGAAUCUCUAGCAGCCAUUCUGAAAGAAAAUUCAGAAGUCAUUUUGAAGUUUGUGGGGCCUGAAAAUGGAAGAGCAUUAAAUGAUGUUAUUGAGCUAACAAAGGAUAAGCAUCCUCGAACAAGAUUGCUUGCAUGCAUGUGCUUGGUUGUAAUAAGAAACGCUUUGCCUUCUUAUCUUCAAGAUUUACAAAUCAAGACCAAGUUGGUUUUAAUUUUACUUGAGCUUCUCGAUGAUCCUGGUCAAGUUGGAGAGGAAGCCCCAUUUAUCUUGUCUAGUUUAAUUGUGGGAAAGGAAGAUAUGCAGAGGUUAGCAUUUCAAGAAAAUGUUAUUGAUAAACUUUGCUGCCACUUGGAGAAAGGUUCUCUACAGGCCAAACGCCUGCAAGGAAUAUUUCUGGCAUUGGCUGAUUUGUGCUCCCGGUUGGAAUCUUGUAGGACUAAGCUUCUAUCUUUAAAGGCUUUGCAAUUUAUGGUUGAUGCUAUGUCACACGAUAGUGCUGAAGUACGUGCUGCAGCUUGCAUUUGUUUAAAGAAUGUUUCUCGGUCUGUUGAGAAUUUAAGUGCAGGUACUUUUAUGAAUGAAAGUGUCAUUAAUCCUGUAGUUCAACUUCUGUGUGACACCUCAACUUCAGUUCAGGUUGCCGCCCUUGGUGCUAUCAGCAAUGUAGUUGUUGAUUUCAUGGUGCAAAAAACAACAUUCAUCCAAUUUGGGGGUGUAAAACAGCUUGUUGAGCUAUCAAAGUCAAUGGAUUCAACCAUCAGGAUGAAUGCCGUCUGUGCUUUGAGGAACUUGAUGUUCCUUGUCAGUGACAGGUGUAAAGAAGCAAUUCUCCUGGAACUAACUCAAUCAACCUUAACAAGCCUAAUAUGCGAUCCUGAGGCUUCCGUGCAAGAGCAAGCUCUUGCCCUUGUUCGCAACCUUGUUGAUGGAUCUACAGAUGGCAUUAGACAUGUCUUUGCAGACAAUUGUUCUCUAUUGCGUGCUGUUGUUAGGCAAAUCCAGAGUGCUUCAAAAGUUGAAGUUGUGAUCCAGGGUAUGUAUGUCCUAACUAAUGUGGCAUCUGGUGGUGAGCUCCAUAAAGAAGCAGUGAUGGAUGAACUUUUCCCAACACUUCCAGGAGGCCCCCAAUCAAUUGUAAUCAAGUUUUUGCAGAGUAAUGAAAGCCAAUUACGUACUGCUGCGGUUUGGACUUUAGUAAAUCUUACUUUGCCCAAUAGUUCUGGUGCAUUUGGUCGGGCUGUGAAACUAAGGAGGGCUGGCAUAAUUUCCCAGUUGAAAAAUAUGAUGAAUGAUCCUUGCUUAGAUGUAAAGCUUCGAGCAAGGACAGCUUUUGGACAAAUGAUGACAUUGGGUGAUGGCUCACCUUGACUUUUUUUAUCAUACUUCAAGCUCAACAAUGAACAAGAGGAGAUUCUGACCUAUAACUGGUCCUUGGGCUUCAUCAUUUGUUGUAAAGUACCAUGUUUGCCUGUGCUACCAACUAGAAAUGGUAAUCCUUACUCGAGGUGUGUAUUGAUGCUAACAUGGCUACUUAAGUUGGACACUGACUGCAGCCUCAAGAAGUAAUCAGGUUCCGAUCAUCAUGUUGACGAAGUGUAAAUGAUUGAUAUUGGUUUUCCCCACUCAAAUGCAUCGUGGGGAGCUUGCUUGAUUUGUGACCACUGCGAGCAGGUCAUACACAAAUUUGAUUCCCAUGAUGACACCGUUCAUCUCAUUUUUGAAUUUAAAUUGUUUGAGUACAAGAUAGAUGUUCUUGCAUUGCUGCUGGGAUUUCUUCUCCAGCAUAUAACUUGUGCAAUGGCCACACCUCUCUUCAGGGUGUCGGAGGUGGAAAAGUGGUCUCAUACUCAUUGUAAUUAUCUGCCAAGUUGCAAUGUGCAUAUAGGAUGAAUUUUAUCAUAAAUGUCAUAGGAAGUCAAAUUUUUGAAGGUUGCUUUGGGGAGUCACAAUUGGUACUGAUCCCUUCUUUGGUUACUGGCAUCAUUUUCCAUUUAAGUUGAGCUUUGUAUCUUUUGACUUUGAACAGGAUUUGGAGGAACGUCUGGCUUAUGUUCAGUAAUGCUCCUUUUCUUCCUGAUCGGGAUGUCUGUCUUUGUUUUUAGUAGUCUGCUUAUAGUAAUUAGUUAGUGUAAAGUCAUUUCUUCUCUACUUUUCCUACACCAAAUAAGGCAAACAUGUUUAACCGUGUGUUCAUGGGUUUUCGGUGAAA
This is a non-coding RNA of Coffea arabica (coffee), 3077 nucleotides long. The record is from RefSeq and is a predicted model, not a curated record. Lineage: Eukaryota; Viridiplantae; Streptophyta; Magnoliopsida; Gentianales; Rubiaceae.